This is a long non-coding RNA of Limulus polyphemus (Atlantic horseshoe crab), 703 nucleotides long. RefSeq lists it as uncharacterized. The transcript has 2 exons. The record is from RefSeq and is a predicted model, not a curated record. Lineage: Eukaryota; Metazoa; Arthropoda; Merostomata; Xiphosura; Limulidae.
UAGCCAUAGGACAGGACAAGGUGUUAUCUGUGGGUAUCCAGUGUAUGUAGGGCCAACCAUAAGACAGGUUAAGGUGUUAUUUGGUGGUAUCCAGUAUAGGUAGGGCCAGCCAAAGGACAGGACAGGGUGGAUGACUUUCCUUAUUAUAUGGUGAUAUCUAAUAUAGGUAGGGCUAGCCAUAGGACAGGACAAGGUGUUAUCUGUGGGUAUCCAGUGUAUGUAGGGCCAACCAUAAGACAGGUUAAGGUGUUAUUUGGUGGUAUCCAGUAUAGGUAGGGCCAGCCAAAGGACAGGACAGGGUGGAUGACUUUCCUUAUUAUAUGGUGAUAUCUAAUAUAGGUAGGGCUAGCCAUAGGACAGGACAAGGUGUUAUCUGUGGGUAUCCAGUGUAUGUAGGGCCAACCAUAAGACAGGUUAAGGUGUUAUUUGGUGGUAUCCAGUAUAGGUAGGGCCAGCCAAAGGACAGGACAGGGUGGAUGACUUUCCUUAUUAUAUGGUGAUAUCUAAUAUAGGGUCAAUAACUAUCAUUUACUAUAACCCGGUGGUGAAAAUCUCCUUAAAGAAGCACAGGUGCUCACCUGGCUACCAGGACCUGGCCUCACAGUGUAUGGAGUAUCGGGUUUUCUGAUAACGGUUACCUCUUCAUGCACUAUUCAAAUUGAACUGUCAAGAAAUACAAAAGAUAACAGGACUUGGUAGAAAA